This 854-nucleotide ribosomal RNA is filed under the name uncultured bacterium. RNAcentral describes it as "bacterial SSU rRNA". It matches the Rfam family "Bacterial small subunit ribosomal RNA", at positions 33 to 916 of the family's 1533-position model. The record is from RNAcentral.
GCCCUGGCGGGUGCUUACCAUGCAGUCGAACGAGGUCUUCGGACCUAGUGGCGAACGGGUGAGUAACACGUGAGGAACGUGCCCCAGAGACCGGGAUAAGCCGAGGAAACUUGGUCUAAUACCGGAUGUCCCCAUCGGAUCGCAUGGUUUGAUGAGGAAAUGGAUUCCGCUCUGGGAGCGCCUCGCGGCCUAUCAGCUAGUUGGUGGGGUAACGGCCCACCAAGGCAUCGACGGGUAGCUGGUCUGAGAGGAUGAUCAGCCACACUGGGACUGAGACACGGCCCAGACUCCUACGGGAGGCAGCAGUGGGGAAUCUUGCGCAAUGGGCGAAAGCCUGACGCAGCAACGCCGCGUGCGGGAUGACGGCCCUCGGGUUGUAAACCGCUUUCAGCAGGAACGAUGAUGACGGUACCUGCAGAAGAAGCUCCGGCCAACUACGUGCCAGCAGCCGCGGUAAUACGUAGGGAGCAAGCGUUGUCCGGAUUUAUUGGGCGUAAAGAGCUCGUAGGCGGUUCGGUAAGUCGGGUGUGAAAACUCUGGGCUCAACCCGGAGAGGCCACUCGAUACUGCUGUGACUUGAGUCUGGUAGGGGAGCACGGAAUUCCUGGUGUAGCGGUGAAAUGCACAGAUAUCAGGAGGAACACCGGUGGCGAAGGCGGUGCUCUGGGCCAGUACUGACGCUGAGGAGCGAAAGCGUGGGGAGCGAACAGGAUUAGAUACCCUGGUAGUCCACGCCGUAAACGUUGGGCACUAGGUGUGGGGGGGACGUCAACUCCCUCCGUGCCGUAGCUAACGCAUUAAGUGCCCCGCCUGGGGAGUACGGCCGCAAGGCUAAAACUCAAAGGAAUUGACGG